GAUGAACGCUGGCGGCGUGCCUAAUACAUGCAAGUCGAGCGAACGGACGAGAAGCUUGCUUCUCUGAUGUUAGCGGCGGACGGGUGAGUAACACGUGGAUAACCUACCUAUAAGACUGGGAUAACUUCGGGAAACCGUAGCUAAUACCGGAUAAUAUUUUGAACCGCAUGGUUCAAAAGUGAAAGACGGUCUUGCUGUCACUUAUAGAUGGAUCCGCGCUGCAUUAGCUAGUUGGUAAGGUAACGGCUUACCAAGGCAACGAUGCAUAGCCGACCUGAGAGGGGGAUCGGCCACACUGGAACUGAGAAACGGUCCAGACUCCUACGGGAGGCAGCAGUAGGGAAUCUUCCGCAAUGGGCGAAAGCCUGACGGAGCAACGCCGCGUGAGUGAUGAAGGUCUUCGGAUCGUAAAACUCUGUUAUUAGGGAAGAACAUAUGUGUAAGUAACUGUGCACAUCUUGACGGUACCUAAUCAGAAAGCCACGGCUAACUACGUG
This 497-nucleotide ribosomal RNA is filed under the name uncultured bacterium. Its description in RNAcentral is "partial 16S ribosomal RNA". It matches the Rfam family "Bacterial small subunit ribosomal RNA", at positions 28 to 507 of the family's 1533-position model. The record is from RNAcentral.